RNAcentral lists this microRNA precursor (61 nucleotides) under Eisenia fetida (common brandling worm). Its description in RNAcentral is "Efe-Mir-216-P2c_pre stem-loop". The record is from RNAcentral. Lineage: Eukaryota; Metazoa; Annelida; Clitellata; Crassiclitellata; Lumbricidae.
UAAUCUCAGCAGGUAGUGAUGAGUGUCGUCUGAAAAUCUCAUGAUGUCUGCUGGGAUGAGA